Prunus persica (peach) is the source of this 424-nucleotide long non-coding RNA. RefSeq lists it as uncharacterized. NCBI's taxonomy places the organism in Eukaryota, Viridiplantae, Streptophyta, Magnoliopsida, Rosales, Rosaceae. The transcript is spliced from 3 exons. The record is from RefSeq and is a predicted model, not a curated record.
UUCUCACCUGCAAUGUCAUAAAGUGUGAGGACAAAACUGUGCUGUUAUGGAAACUGUAUGCUGAUCCUGUUAAGCUCUGUGUUGUUGAAUAUUUUCUAAUUUAUAAGAAUUUUCAGUUCAGGUUUGUUCCUAAUCUACUCUUUGAGUUAAAAAGGAAAGCUUACUGGCAACUCUGAGCAGCUCUUCCAUCGAAUCAGGGCUAGAAGUGCCUGAGUAGGACUUCAUGGGUUUCUUUCUCAAGUGAGAGUGGAAAAACUGGGUGCCCUCGUGUCUUUUGGAAUUUCCUUUACAAUUCCUGGUGCUUUCAGCAGAAUGAAGAGCCAUUUGGCCGUCCUCAGCAGCGAUGUUGACAUCCAUUGCACAUCUAGUUAAAAUAUCAGCCUUGCAUAUCUCACUCUUCUCUGUAGCCUCUGGACCUGUAAAC